AUGGGACCUGAGCAUGUAUUUGAUGAAUUGACUAAGGCGCUGAAAGAUCCUGCAGAUUUUGUAGAUUUUGAUCUGCCAUCUGCGUUGAAAGAAUGGAAGCUGGGCUACUACAUACCAAUUAAGCGGAAUAUUUAUCUUACUAAGAAGCGGGUUGAAGAUGAUGGCAUUUUUUGUUCCUGCUCCCUUUCUUCUGAAUCACCAGUUACUUGUGGAAAAGAUUGCCAAUGCGGGAUGCUGUUCUCUUGUUGUUCAUCAAACUGUAAAUGUGAGAACAAGUGUGCCAAUAAAUCAUUCCAGCUCCGACCUUUGUUCAAAACAAAAUUGAUUAAGACAGAGAAAUGUGGCUUUGGAUUGAUAGCCGAGGACGAAAUAAAGAAAGGAGAAUUUGUUAUAGAAUAUGUAGGAGAAGUUAUUGAUGACAGAACUUGUGAGGAAAGACUAUGGAAAAUGAAGAGACAACGUUACACUAACUUCUAUCUUUGUGAGGUCAGUAGCAAUAUGGUCAUUGAUGCGACAAACAAGGGGAACAAGUCCAGGUUUAUCAAUCAUAGUUGUGAACCAAACACAGAGAUGCAGAAAUGGACUGUGGAUGGACAGACCAGAGUUGGAAUUUUUGCUCUUCGUGACAUAGAGAGAGGGGAGGAGUUGACCUAUGACUAUAAAUUUGUCCAGUUUGGAGCAGAUCAAGAUUGUCAUUGUGGGUCUUCAAACUGCAGAAAAAUGGUUGGCACGUCUAAGUCGUUCAACUCAUUUGUUCUUCACAAUGGCAACUCAGGAAGCUCGCAAGAUCAGCACGACAUAAAGAAAAGAAAGACAACCUCAGAUAAUUGUAUUGGGGAGAUCAUCCGUUUAUGGGAUCGACGAGAUAAAAUGUAUGUCCCAGCAGUUGUACAUGACUAUGAUGAGUACACUGGAAUGCAUACUUUACUGCUUGAUGAAGAAACUACUGAAAAAUUUGAUAUGAGAGAGGAAGAUUGGGACUUCCUACCGCGCCCAGAAGAUCCAGAAGAAGACAAUUAUUGA
This 1023-nucleotide ribosomal RNA is filed under the name Triticum aestivum (bread wheat). RNAcentral describes it as "partial small subunit ribosomal RNA". The record is from RNAcentral. Lineage: Eukaryota; Viridiplantae; Streptophyta; Magnoliopsida; Poales; Poaceae.